Molecule: transfer RNA, 75 nt
Filed under: Deinobacterium chartae
Lineage: Bacteria; Thermotogati; Deinococcota; Deinococci; Deinococcales; Deinococcaceae
Also listed under: 8 other names
Description: tRNA-Val
Rfam family: tRNA
About the family: Transfer RNA (tRNA) molecules are approximately 80 nucleotides in length.
Source: RNAcentral
GGGCGGUUAGCUCAGCGGUAGAGCACUCGCUUCACACGCGAGGGGUCGUAGGUUCAAAUCCUAUACCGCCCACCA